UGGCCGAGGUGUUUAUCAGUGAACUA
Molecule: non-coding RNA, 26 nt
Filed under: Macaca fascicularis (crab-eating macaque)
Lineage: Eukaryota; Metazoa; Chordata; Mammalia; Primates; Cercopithecidae
Also listed under: 1 other name
Source: RNAcentral